AAUUUCCUUCCCUGAAAUAGAGAUGGAAAACACCUUCCCUAUAGCCCAGUUAACAGACUGCUUCUCUCGUGUAGUGCAAAUCUUGUCUGAAUUUAAUCCCCAAAACCCUUCCCCUGCAAUCCCAGCUUCUCAUGUUCCUUCUCCUACAGAAAACCAAAUUCCAAUGCAAGGGAGAUCUUGUCCUCCUAGAGAAACCUGUCCUUGUCAAACUGACCCACAGGUGCAAAAUUCAACUAGAGGCCUGUUUCCUCUAAGAGAAGUACCUGAAAUAGGACGGAAUGGGGAUGUGGUGACUUUAAGACAUAGGAUACCAUUUACUCCCCAAGAAAUAAAUGAAUUUACACGAAAUAUCCCCACAUAUGAACAAGAUCCUUUUCUAGUAACAAAAAAGAUGGGAGACAUAUUUUUUCAGUAUAAUCCGUCUUACAAGGACGUUGAGAGCUUACUACAGGCUUUUUUACGUGAACGUGAAAAAAAUAAAAUAAUUGCUCAUGUCAACAAAACCCGGGGGCGUAAUGCAGCACAUUGGCCAUCUCAGGAUCCCAAAUGGGACUAUAACAAUCCUGAGGAUUAUCUACAACUAUACCGUUGUAGAGAGGCCAUCCUCACGGCAAUGAAGGAAUGUGCAGACAGUACAGAUAAGUGGAUGGAACUGGAAAAAAUUAAGCAAAAGGACGAAGAAACACCCUCCAGAUUUAUGGACAGAAUUAUCGAGUUUGGGGACAGAUACUUAGAUUGGGACUUAACUAAAGAGAGUAGUUUAAGACAAGUUAGAAGAAUCUUUGUAAACAAUUCUUACAAGGCAAUUAAAAAUUAUUUUAAAACACAAUGCCCAAGAUGGUCAGAUAUGGACCUUGAAGAAUUGCGAAAAACAGCUAUAUAUGUUUUAAAGGGAAACGAAGAAAAGGAGGAAGAAAAUAAUGAUGACAUGGAGGAAAUGAAGAAAAAAAAUAAGAUAUUUAAUAGAUAGGAUAACUAAAUUAGAAAGUGGGCAUGAUAAUGAACCAACGACAAUUGCCCCUCUCCAGAAAUCCAAUUAUCAAUCCAUUACUUGCCACUUCUGUGGGAAGAAGGGCCACAAUAUGAUGGAUUGUAGAACCUUUCUUAAGAUGUUUGGAAGGAAUACACAGUUUAAUAAUAGUUUUAGAAAUAAUAAC
This 1157-nucleotide long non-coding RNA is filed under the name Monodelphis domestica (gray short-tailed opossum). RNAcentral's name for it is "lncRNA (ENSMODG00000027529.2)". Lineage: Eukaryota; Metazoa; Chordata; Mammalia; Didelphimorphia; Didelphidae. The record is from RNAcentral.